ACAAACACAAAUCUCAACUUCCAUUUUUUCAUUCAAUCCUAGUCACUCUUAACAAUUAAUCCUAUGGUUGAAAUUGGUGAUCCGCAACUUAAGCAUAAAUUAACUUCCAGCCAUUGAUAAAACCAUUACAUGGAUCACAAUCUAAUGGUGUUCGUUCACUUGUAAAGUCUAUAUAAACAUGUUAUUUCUCACAAUUUUGGGGGUUAACUAACAUAACAAAUUAAACUAUCUUUUCUCCCAUUAUUUUUU
Molecule: long non-coding RNA, 249 nt
Filed under: Lathyrus oleraceus (garden pea)
Lineage: Eukaryota; Viridiplantae; Streptophyta; Magnoliopsida; Fabales; Fabaceae
Description: Pisum sativum (pea) long non-coding RNA (PSAT_LNC018928)
Source: RNAcentral